RNAcentral lists this ribosomal RNA (396 nucleotides) under uncultured bacterium. Its description in RNAcentral is "bacterial SSU rRNA". It matches the Rfam family "Bacterial small subunit ribosomal RNA", at positions 29 to 425 of the family's 1533-position model. The record is from RNAcentral.
AUUGAACGCUGGCGGCAUGCUUUACACAUGCAAGUCGAGCGGCAGCGCGGGGGGCAACCCUGGCGGCGAGCGGCGAACGGGUGAGUAAUGCAUCGGAACGUAUCCUGUAGUGGGGAAUAACUCACCGAAAGGUGAGCUAAUACCGCAUAAGCUCUGAGGAGGAAAGCGGGGGACCGAAAGGCCUCGCGCUGCAGGAGCGGCCGAUGUCCGAUUAGCUAGUUGGUGAGGUAAAGGCUCACCAAGGCGACGAUCGGUAGCUGGUCUGAGAGGAUGAUCAGCCACACUGGGACUGAGACACGGCCCAGACUCCUACGGGAGGCAGCAGUGGGGAAUUUUGGACAAUGGGGGAAACCCUGAUCCAGCCAUGCCGCGUGAGUGAAGAAGGCCUUCGGGUUG